This 71-nucleotide transfer RNA is filed under the name Coryphaena equiselis. RNAcentral describes it as "tRNA-Trp". It matches the Rfam family "tRNA". Rfam says of the family: Transfer RNA (tRNA) molecules are approximately 80 nucleotides in length. Lineage: Eukaryota; Metazoa; Chordata; Actinopteri; Carangiformes; Coryphaenidae. The record is from RNAcentral.
AGGAAUUUAGGAUAACGAAAAUCCAAGAGCCUUCAAAGCCCUUAAUGGAGGUUAAAUCCCUUCAAUUCCUG